UACAGAGGUCUCAAGCGUUGUUCGGAUUCAUUGGGCGUAAAGGGUGCGUAGGCGGCGCGGUAAGUCGGGUGUGAAAUCUUGGAGCUUAACUCCGAAACUGCAUUCGAUACUGCCGUGCUUGAGGACUGGAGAGGAGACUGGAAUUUACGGUGUAGCGGUGAAAUGCGUAGAGAUGUGGAGGAACACCAGUGGCGAAGGCGACUCUCUGGGCUGUAACUGACGCUGAGGCGCGAAAGCGUGGGGAGCAAACAGG
This 253-nucleotide ribosomal RNA is filed under the name uncultured bacterium. Its description in RNAcentral is "partial 16S ribosomal RNA". It matches the Rfam family "Bacterial small subunit ribosomal RNA", at positions 524 to 776 of the family's 1533-position model. The record is from RNAcentral.